UGCCGUGGCUAUAGCGGUGAGGAACCACCUCUUCCCAUUCCGAACAGAGAAGUUAAGCUCACCCGCGCUGAUGGUACUGACCUACCAGUUGGGAGAGUAAGUCGCCGCGGUUU
This 113-nucleotide ribosomal RNA is filed under the name Bacteroidales bacterium. The record is from RNAcentral. Lineage: Bacteria; Pseudomonadati; Bacteroidota; Bacteroidia; Bacteroidales.